GGCACUAUAGUGCAGUGGUAGAACGCCGCUCCUGCUCCAACAGCGCAGGGCGGUUCGAUUCCGCUUGGUGGCA
This is a non-coding RNA of Mycena maculata, 73 nucleotides long. The record is from the annotation of a GenBank genome assembly. NCBI's taxonomy places the organism in Eukaryota, Fungi, Basidiomycota, Agaricomycetes, Agaricales, Mycenaceae.